RNAcentral lists this long non-coding RNA (221 nucleotides) under Nicotiana benthamiana. Its description in RNAcentral is "long non-coding RNA (NBEN_LNC003954)". Lineage: Eukaryota; Viridiplantae; Streptophyta; Magnoliopsida; Solanales; Solanaceae. The record is from RNAcentral.
GUAUGUAAAUUGUCAAAUAUUGUAGGCUUUAGAGAGUGAAUAUUUGGCUAUAAAAGGAGAGAUUCAACUCUCAUUUUAAUACACCAACAAAGAGAAAAAGAAAGAGCCAGGUUUCACAGACAAUGUAUAAGAAAAUAGUCUGUAAGAAAAAUAGAGAGUGAGCGAUAUUGUAGUAAGGUGGGAAUAUCAAAAGAUGGUUAUUUCUUUUGAGUGUUGUAGUG